RNAcentral lists this ribosomal RNA (253 nucleotides) under uncultured bacterium. RNAcentral describes it as "partial 16S ribosomal RNA". It matches the Rfam family "Bacterial small subunit ribosomal RNA", at positions 524 to 776 of the family's 1533-position model. The record is from RNAcentral.
GACGGAGGGUGCGAGCGUUGUUCGGAUUGACUGGGCGUAAAGGGCGUGUAGGCGGCCGAUCAAGUCCGGUGUGAAAGCCCGGGGCUCACCCCCGGAAGUGCAUCGGAAACUAGUCGGCUUGAGCGCGAUAGAGGAGGGUGGAAUUCCUGGUGUAGCGGUGAAAUGCGUAGAUAUCAGGAGGAACAUCGGCGGCGAAGGCGGCCCUCUGGCUCGUUGCUGACGCUGAGACGCGAAAGCGUGGGGAGCAAACAGG